GGAAAUCUCACCAGGCCUGGACACUGGAAGGAUUGACAGAUUGAUAGAUCUUUCUUGAUUCGGUGGGUGGUUGUGCAUGGCCGUUCUUAGUUGGUGGAGUGAUUUGUCCGGCUUAAUUUGACUCAACGCGGGAAAUCUCACCAGGCCCGGACACUGGAAGGAUUGACAGAUUGAUAGCUCUUUCUUGUUAGCAAUAA
This 197-nucleotide ribosomal RNA is filed under the name uncultured eukaryote. Its description in RNAcentral is "partial 18S ribosomal RNA". It matches the Rfam family "Eukaryotic small subunit ribosomal RNA", at positions 1208 to 1402 of the family's 1831-position model. The record is from RNAcentral.